GGGCCCGCACAAGCGGUGGAGCAUGUGGUUUAAUUCGAUGAUACGCGAGGAACCUUACCAGGGCUUAAAUGGGAAAUGACAGGGGCAGAGACGCCCCCUUCUUCGGACUCAUUACAAGGUGCUGCAUGGUUGUCGUCAGCUCGUGCCGUGAGGUGUCAGGUUAAGUCCUAUAACGAGCGCAACCCCUAUCGUUAGUUGCCAGCGAGUAAUGUCGGGAACUCUAACGAAACUGCCAGUGCAAACUGUGAGGAAGGUGGGGAUGACGUCAAAUCAUCACGGCCCUUACGUCCUGGGCUACACACGUGCUACAAUGGCCGGUACAGAGAGCAGCCACUUCGCAAGAAGGAGCGAAUCUAUUAAAACCGGUCUCAGUUCGGAUCGGAGUCUGCAACUCGACUCCGUG
Molecule: ribosomal RNA, 403 nt
Filed under: uncultured bacterium
Lineage: Bacteria
Description: bacterial SSU rRNA
Rfam family: Bacterial small subunit ribosomal RNA
Source: RNAcentral